This 395-nucleotide ribosomal RNA is filed under the name uncultured bacterium. RNAcentral describes it as "partial 16S ribosomal RNA". It matches the Rfam family "Bacterial small subunit ribosomal RNA", at positions 338 to 730 of the family's 1533-position model. The record is from RNAcentral.
CCUACGGGAGGCAGCAGUGAGGAAUAUUGGUCAAUGGACGAGAGCCUGAACCAGCCAAGUAGCGUGAAGGAAGACGGCCCUAUGGGUUGUAAACUUCUUUUACAAAGGAAUAAAACGAGGCACGUGUGCCUCAUCGCAUGUACUUUAUGAAUAAGGAUCGGCUAACUCCGUGCCAGCAGCCGCGGUAAUACGGAGGAUCCGAGCGUUAUCCGGAUUUAUUGGGUUUAAAGGGAGCGUAGAUGGGUUGUUAAGUCAGUUGUGAAAGUUUGCGGCUCAACCGUAUAAUGGCAGUUGAAACUGGCAGUCUUGAGUGCAGGUGAGGUAUGCGGAAUUCGUGGUGUAGCGGUGAAAUGCUUAGAUAUCACGAAGAACCCCGAUUGCGAAGGCAGCUUACU